RNAcentral lists this transfer RNA (76 nucleotides) under Rickettsiales bacterium. RNAcentral's name for it is "tRNA-Met". It matches the Rfam family "tRNA". Rfam says of the family: Transfer RNA (tRNA) molecules are approximately 80 nucleotides in length. Their secondary structure includes four short double-helical elements and three loops (D, anti-codon, and T loops). The record is from RNAcentral. Lineage: Bacteria; Pseudomonadati; Pseudomonadota; Alphaproteobacteria; Rickettsiales.
GGCGGGAUAGCUCAGCUGGUAGAGCAUGGGAAUCAUAAUCCCAGUGUCGUGGGUUCAAAACCCUCUCCCGCUACCA